GGCCGAUGAACGGGAACAGCUCAUAGCCGAACCGCUGGCCAUCUCGGUCAUGCGGAAUGUGGCGUUUGGAAGGGUCUCUUCCACGGCAUAGACACCAGUCAAAGUCCAACUUGACAGUGGCCACAGCCCAUAGAGGGUGAUAGGCCCGUAAGGCGGUUGUCUUGCUGUGCUGACCUCUUCCCCGAGUAGGGUUGCUUGAGAGUGCAGCCCGAAGCGCGAGGUAAACUCCUCGUAAAGCUAAAUAUGACCCCAAGACCGAUAGCAAACAAGUACAGUGAUGGAAAUUUGCAAAGAACUUUGAAGAGAGAGUUAAAAGUACGUGAAACUGUGUGGUUGUAAACGAAGCCUCCCUCGAAGUGUUCCCGGGCGAACCCAACCUAGGGCUGGGGCAGCUCUUGCCACCUGAUCAGCAAUGACUGAUGGCGGGAUGCUUGCUCUGGCCACGGGUGCAUCUUUGCCCGGGUUUACGGCAGGAACUGUUGGGACUGGACCGAAGGCCUGGGAUGAAGUUUUCGCUUCGGCGUUAGCUCCCGGUGUCCUGGCUCCGGACCCGACAGGCAAAUCCGUGCGGACUUGUACAGCAAGCAACGCUUCUGUUGCGGUCCGCCGUUCCCUGCCGAGUAGGUCGGUGAAGGCUUCGACCCGUCUUGAAACACGGACC
Molecule: ribosomal RNA, 661 nt
Filed under: Pontellina plumata
Lineage: Eukaryota; Metazoa; Arthropoda; Copepoda; Calanoida; Pontellidae
Description: eukaryotic LSU rRNA
Rfam family: Eukaryotic large subunit ribosomal RNA
Source: RNAcentral